UUUGUAAUUGAUAGUGUGACGGAUCAGAAUGAGACAAAUCAAAAAACUUCUGUUUGAUUAGUUGCUCACAUCAUCUUAAUUGGGUAUAUUCGUCCGACGUAAUGCAUGAUUGUAUUUUUUUAAUUUCGUGUUCUUAUCUUCUGCACUGGAAGAUAAUAAUACUGAUCCUGUCAUAAUAUGGCAGUAGUUGAGACGGCGGGAGAAGAAAGGACGACAACCACAAGGAAAAUACUGGGAUGUUAAUUAAUUUGUUUUAAUUAAGCCAACAAACACGACCAGUGACGAGACAACUGCACAAAAAGGACAUCAAUCACAAUCUACAAAGGGCAGUUUCAUCUGCUGUCAAGAAUACCAACACACAGCAAACAUCAACAAAAACUACAUUGGUUACCCACACAUGACAAGUGCAUUUGAGUGUUAACCAUCAAGAGUAACGCUUAUUAUCCAUUUCAAUUAUAAACAUAUUGAUACAUGAUGGAUGAAGGACAAAACAGUGGACCAAGAAGAGGCAGUGGUUGGUAAGCUGUGGGACUGUAAACACAUUUCUGUAGUAACAAAUAAACAUGCAAAAGUAGAGGAAUUGUUGGUAUGGUAUUUUUUAUGUGAUCCUUGUCAAGGCUAUACAGCAAGGACUGGCAGCAGUCCAGCAGGCUCCAAGGGCUGUCACACAGUAAAAUAUGGUCAUGAGUCCUGUGGGACUAGGAACCAAGUCACUGUGGUCAGCAGCAAUUUAGCAGUUGGUCGGUCUUCAGUUGCAUUGUUAGCAGCCAACACCCAGCAAUGAUUAGCGGACAAACAUAAGACGUUACGUGCUAUAGUUGCAGUGAUGUACAGUGUGUGUGUGUAUCAGUGAGACUAUUACAGUUAUUUAUAGUUACAAGUGUUCCAUAAAUCAAAUUAUCAUUCCAAAAACCAUGUCUAGCCACUAACACAUGAUCAUAUUUUAACAAAUUCUUAAAUUAAAGUUAACUGCUACUUCCUUGACAGGGAGUUAACACAGUGGAACAGCUUACAAGAAGAGACAUACCUAAGGAUGGCCACAUAAUGCUGAAGUAUGUUGUAUGAAUAACAAAACAAUAAAAUAUGGCAAUGGCAACAACCAUGAAACCAUUAUAUACUUAUGAAUGCAGCAAUAAGGCUGAAUGUAAAUACUAAGAAAGUGAACAAGUAAAUACAUAUAUCUCACUAGUACCCUUACAGGAGGAAAAGAGACAUGAGACAAGUAUGGGAGCUACAUAUUAGGAGCUAUACAAUUGUCUACUGAAAAGUAAGAUAAUUAGGUUCUUGCAUUCUUUGGAAUAAAGAGUCUUCACAGCUGUUA
This is a long non-coding RNA of Cryptotermes secundus, 1321 nucleotides long. RefSeq lists it as uncharacterized. The record is from RefSeq and is a predicted model, not a curated record. NCBI's taxonomy places the organism in Eukaryota, Metazoa, Arthropoda, Insecta, Blattodea, Kalotermitidae. The transcript is spliced from 2 exons.